Molecule: long non-coding RNA, 680 nt
Filed under: Eutrema salsugineum
Lineage: Eukaryota; Viridiplantae; Streptophyta; Magnoliopsida; Brassicales; Brassicaceae
Description: long non-coding RNA (ESAL_LNC001600)
Source: RNAcentral
UUGAGAUUCUUGUUUGCACAAUUGAUAUGUUUGCUUUAUAUUUCAUUCCGUGCAAGGUCCUUUAAGGUGAUCUGCUUAUGCUUCAUACUUGCUCUAGAGAAGGAUACGCCAUGUAAACAAGUUCUAGGAUCCGAAGAAAUCGUCUCGAUAUUUAUUUGCUUAUUAUCUUGGCGGUGUGCUCAAUUUGACGGUUAAUUGAUAAUUGCUGGUAUUUUUUUUUUUUUUUUUUUUGUAAUUGAGGAUGAAUCAGGGUGCAACAGAGCAGCCUUAUAGCAUAUACCCGGGCUUCUCUUGUCCAAGCCACAUAGAGUAAGCUCAACUUCCUGGAUUUGUCUCACCGAAGAACAGUCAAAGAAGGCGAAGGUUGUUCGAUCUGCUUACUUUGAGUUAAGUUUGUAAGGUUGACUGUAACGGUCCGAAUGUAUCGAGCAACAUAAGUUGGGGAAGAAACACUUAAAGAACUUCGGAGAAGUUAAAAACAUGCUUACCCUUACCGUGUAACAUAGGUUCUUCUUCUUCGGCUGGACCAACCAUUGCAAGGCUAAGAAGAACGGGAAGAAAGGUGCGGAAUUAACAGAAGGGUUUAGAAUCAAAGAGACGGAAAGUCAUGGAAUGUGGGGCCACAAAUGAGUCUAAUUAGAUUGUGUAGAAUAUGCAACGUUGUUUGUAAUAGUGACAAG